ACGGCCGACUGAAUAGCAAUGACAUGUGGGCCAGGAAGAAGUCAAGGAGGCUCCCACUGGUCCCUGGAGGCAUUUAUAGCUCCAAGUCAGAAGCCCAGCCUGUGGAAGAUGACAGCCCCAAAGCCCUGCCUGUGUUAGGGGAGCAAUCGAACUCAGAUAAUGACAUAAAUGAGUCGCUGUUCAUCUGGGGAAUCUCAGACAAAGCAGCCCAGAGGAAAACCAUCUCUGCCGGGGAAGGCUCGUUUCACUUGCAACAAGAGAAGCAGCAGCCACGACCGGAGCCUGAGCGCAAGCUGGGGAGAGGUAGAGGGAGGCUGAGGCUGCCGCGUGUGAGUAGCAUUUGAUGAUUUUUCUGCAGCCUGGGAUGGGAUGCUGGGGAGGGGGCUUGGCCGUGAGGUGGGCAUGCAUGUGUAGGUUGGGGCUUUUCCU
This 429-nucleotide long non-coding RNA is filed under the name Fukomys damarensis (Damara mole-rat). RNAcentral describes it as "lncRNA (ENSFDAG00000027620.1)". Lineage: Eukaryota; Metazoa; Chordata; Mammalia; Rodentia; Bathyergidae. The record is from RNAcentral.